AACGAACGCUGGCGGCAUGCCUAACACAUGCGAGUCGAACGAGACCUUCGGGUCUAGUGGCGCACGGGUGCGUAACGCGUGGGAACCUGCCCUUAGGUUCGGAAUAACUCCCCGAAAGGGGUGCUAAUACCGGAUAAUGUCUUCGGACCAAAGAUUUAUCGCCUUUGGAUGGGCCCGCGUUGGAUUAGCUAGUUGGUAGGGUAAAAGCCUACCAAGGCGACGAUCCAUAGCUGGUCUGAGAGGAUGAUCAGCCACACUGGGACUGAGACACGGCCCAGACUCCUACGGGAGGCAGCAGUGGGGAAUAUUGGACAAUGGGCGAAAGCCUGAUCCAGCCAUGCCGCGUGAGUGAUGAAGGCCUUAGGGCUGUAAAGCUCUUUUACCCGGGAUGAUAAUGACAGUACCGGGAGAAUAAGCUCCGGCUAACUCCGUG
This 433-nucleotide ribosomal RNA is filed under the name uncultured bacterium. RNAcentral describes it as "partial 16S ribosomal RNA". It matches the Rfam family "Bacterial small subunit ribosomal RNA", at positions 29 to 507 of the family's 1533-position model. The record is from RNAcentral.